RNAcentral lists this ribosomal RNA (253 nucleotides) under uncultured bacterium. RNAcentral's name for it is "partial 16S ribosomal RNA". It matches the Rfam family "Bacterial small subunit ribosomal RNA", at positions 524 to 776 of the family's 1533-position model. The record is from RNAcentral.
UACGUAGGGUGCAAGCGUUAUCCGGAAUUAUUGGGCGUAAAGAGCUCGUAGGCGGUUUGUCACGUCUGCUGUGAAAACUGGAGGCUCAACCUCCAGCCUGCAGUGGGUACGGGCAGACUAGAGUUCGGUAGGGGAGUCUGGAAUUCCUGGUGUAGCGGUGAAAUGCGCAGAUAUCAGGAGGAACACCGGUGGCGAAGGCAGCCCCUUGGACCUGUACUGACGCUCAUGCACGAAAGCGUGGGGAGCAAACAGG